Non-coding RNA from Podarcis muralis (Common wall lizard), 2800 nucleotides. NCBI's taxonomy places the organism in Eukaryota, Metazoa, Chordata, Lepidosauria, Squamata, Lacertidae. The record is from RefSeq and is a predicted model, not a curated record.
ACUAUAACCUUGGAGAGAGCCAUUGGGUCGAAGCAGCUGCCGGAAGCUCAGAUCCCUCUCUCUCCCUCUGUGUGUGUGUGUGUUUGGCCUUUUUGGACCAAUGUGGGCCACAGCUGGACGCCGGACCCUUUGGAGGAGGAGGAAGGGGUGGGUCGGUGGGGAAGGAUGGAGAGGUUCUGACCCGCCCCUGGAAACCUCGGUAGUGGAGCCGCGGGUCAUUUGUAUGAUUGUUCAGACCAACAAGCACUUCAUCCGAGACGCAAAGAUUCAAGGAGAAGAGGGGAAAUUGCCAUCCCUCUGAGGAAAACUGAGAAAUACGUGCACGCCCAAACGAAGAUGGAAAGUCUAAGGGAGGGGAAUCAGAAGACUUGGCCCGGCGAAGAAAUGGACAAGGCGGGAGUCCAGGGCCGCCCCCUUCCCCUAGAUCCGUCUUUAGCAGUUGGCCUGAUAGCUAGAUAAGUGGGAGACCCCCAUCUCCUUUAGAAAGUCGAAGCCAAACUGUGGGCUGUCUUAUAACUAGAGCAGUCAAGUACAACAUUUUCCUGUUUCCUAGAAUGGACACACGGAGGAAUGUGGCUCCAGACAGGGAAGACUUCCUGUCACACCUGCUUUGGAGCUUCCUCCCCCUGUGUGUGACCAGGUAGAGAGGCGCGACCCUAGCUGACCAGAUAAAAGGGCAACCAUCUCUUGAACUCUUACUUUCUUACUCUUGGACUCUCUCUGUCCUGGCUCGUAGCUAGCGCAUGGCUCAACCUUCACAUAGGAUGGAGCCCACAAGCAGAAAGUCUGAGAUGCAGCUCAGACUUCUUUUCACUGUAACCACAACACAAAAGCCUGCCUUCAGACUACUGCUGUGAACUGAAUAGAAAUGAUGAUCAGGAAAUCUGCGGAAUGAACUAAUCAAGAAAACAAAAGAAGUUAUUCCAAGCGAGGACAAGUUCCUGGCAGCGCAGCUUUUUCUGGUGUUGGAGUUGCCGAACAUCCUUAAUCACACACACGAGUUAUCUCCCGACGAGGCUUUGCUAUAACCAUUUGUCAUGCUGGCAAUAGAGUAGUGGCCAAAACUGGAAUAAUAAUAAUAAUAAUAAUAAUAAUAAUAAUAAUAAUAAUAAUAAUAAUAAUAAACUAGAAUUUGCCCUGCUCGGGCGCAGACUUGUGGCUGGCGCGCGAGGCGUCCUGUGGGCGUGCAGACAACCGGCGGGGGGAAUUGAUUUCGGAUCACAGCUCAUCGGAAGUCAAAGGGCGCUCGCGAAACGCUCCUGUCGUUUGAUCUACAACCCAAAUCCCUGCCUAGCAACUGCAAUCACAUCUUUCUAACCCCCAUCGCAACCCCGGCUUCCGUUUCCUCUUUGGUUAGUUGUGUUGGUUCGCCUCCUGUCGUCUCACAAAGGAGGACUCCACAGCUCUGGAAUCUUCUCCUCCAGGAACAGUCAGUGGUUAGGAAGAGCAUCAAGGCAGAAGCCAACCAUUUCCUCGCUUGAAAUUUCGCGAGAAGGUGCCCACAGGUCAGAGCUGAGGACUCGUUCUUCUACAGGGCUCUGCAGAAUUGUGGUCUUCCUGCCCUCAUGUGCAAGAAGAUCAGGAGGCGAUCCCUGGAGAGAAACCACCAGAGCUCCUGGCACAUCCCAGCCAGUCAAUAGCCAGAUUCCUCACGUUUCAUUGGACAAUCUGGCAGACAUGGGCUUUGGGCUGAACCCAUUACAGAAAUAGGGGGAUCCAUGCAGGGAUUUUCAGGAGCUGCCCAAUCUACAGGAGUCUAAUAGAGUGAGCAGACCAUACCAGGGUCGCUGCCCAUAAACAGGCCCACCCUGGAAGGAGUCUCGGGAUUGGACUAGGAUGGAGAGAAAACGGGACGGAGGGCAGGAAACAUAAGAACCACUAUUACUGAAUGCCUGACCUAAGUCUCCUUGGAUCGAUUGAGUGGGACUUAUUUCCAAGUCAUAUGGGGAAUAUAUAAGCCUCAUUGAACAGCCUAGCAGGAAGUUUCAUUGAGUUCAGACGGGACUUACUCCUAGGUGAGUUGACCUCAGAUUGCAGCCUUUCCAGAGUUUGACUGAAAGGACUUACCCACGAGUAGACGUGUACAUUUGAAGGUGCCAUCACAAGCAGCGUGGUGCUUAAUUGUGGCUUCCAUUCUUCACAGCUGCUUUCCGCUUUCCCUCUCCAGACAUCCGAGCGAUUUCUCUUCAAGGGAAACGCCCCCCGCCCGUGUUUUUAUGAGACAGCAGGACAGAUCUCCCCACCCAAAGAUACACACCUUCUUUCCUCCUUAGCAGAGUUAGACGCGUAAUAAUGCCGCGAUCCUCAAGUCUGGAAGAUGACCAGUUGCGGAGAAACCUAUGGGCCCGUCAGCCCGAAACGGGAAAGUCGAAGACUAAUAUCCAAACCACACUUAGCUCUGGGGAGAACCCCUUUCCCCUAGAAAUACAGUCGUUCGGUCCCAGCAUGUGUCCUUAACCUCAAGCCUCUGAUAAAUAAAGAUCUAGAAAGAGGGGGAACCCCAGGAAGGCUACGCUCUGUAUUAACUCCUUCCUGUAUGCAAGCCCGAUUCCCUAUUUAUGUGUGUGGCUUGCUUUGUGCCCUAAGUUGUAGACCCUUGGCUACUGAGGAUGCUGGUUCCUUGUGGGGGCUCUAAGACAUUACCCUCGCGCCACCGCCAGGCUCUCAGUCAAUUCCACCGCUCUCCAUCCUGCCUAGGAGUCUCCAUCCUCCAUCCAAUCCACGGUUUCUCUCUCAACCACUUUGCAAAACGGGUUAAUGUCGCAAUAAAUGUGUUGGUCGUUACUGCGCUACAGUACAA